RNAcentral lists this long non-coding RNA (340 nucleotides) under Homo sapiens (human). RNAcentral describes it as "HSALNT0020538". The record is from RNAcentral. Lineage: Eukaryota; Metazoa; Chordata; Mammalia; Primates; Hominidae.
UUCCCCUCCCCUUCUACCUCCUCCUCGGCCAGCUCAGGUUGCAGCUUCUCUGGGGAACUGCUCACCUUUCCGGAGCAGGGGAAGCUGCCCCGUGCCCGGGAGGGAGCGGGCGCACCGCGGCCCCCAGGACACGCGCUCUUGCAGCUCGGUCCUCUUGGCAGAGACCCCCCGCAGGAGUGCAGCACCUUCUCCCCAACAGACAGCGGGGAGGAGCCGGGGCAGCUCUCCCCUGGCGUGCAGUUCCAGCGGCGGCAGAACCAGCGCCGCUUCUCCAUGGAGGUAAGGGCCUCUGGAGCUCUGCCCCGGCAGGUGGCAGGAUGCACGCACAAGGGUGUGCACA